UACGAAGGGGGCUAGCGUUGCUCGGAAUCACUGGGCGUAAAGGGUGCGUAGGCGGGUUUUUAAGUCAGGGGUGAAAUCCUGGAGCUCAACUCCAGAACUGCCUUUGAUACUGAAGAUCUUGAGUUCGGGAGAGGUGAGUGGAACUGCGAGUGUAGAGGUGAAAUUCGUAGAUAUUCGCAAGAACACCAGAGGCGAAGGCGGCUCACUGGCCCGAUACUGACGCUGAGGCACGAAAGCGUGGGGAGCAAACAGG
RNAcentral lists this ribosomal RNA (253 nucleotides) under uncultured bacterium. RNAcentral's name for it is "partial 16S ribosomal RNA". It matches the Rfam family "Bacterial small subunit ribosomal RNA", at positions 524 to 776 of the family's 1533-position model. The record is from RNAcentral.